ACGCUGGCGGCGCACCUAAGACAUGCAAGUCGGACGGGAGGCUUCGGCCUCCAGUGGCGGACGGGUGAGUAACACGUGGGGGAUCUGCCCCGCGGUGGGGGAUACCACCGGGAAACCGGUGCUAAGACCGCAUACGCCGGGUGGCAUAGGGGCCAGCCGGGAAAUGCGCAAGCAGCCGGGGGAGGACCCUGCGGCGGAUUAGCUGGUUGGUGGGGUAGCGGCCCACCAAGGCUGUGAUCCGUAGCUGGUCUGAGAGGACGGCCAGCCACACCGGGACUGAGACACGGCCCGGACUCCUACGGGAGGCAGCAGUUAGGGAAUUUUCGCACUGGGCGCAAGCCUGACGAAGUGACGCCGCGUGCGGGAGGAAGGCCUUCGGGUCGUAAACCGCUUUUGCGGGGGACGAGACGGACGGUACCCCGCGAAUAAGCCCCGGCUAACUACGUGCCAGCAGCCGCGGUAAGACGUAGGGGGCGAGCGUUGUCCGGAAUCACUGGGCGUAAAGCGCGCGUAGGCGGCCGCACGCAUCCGCAGUGAAAGCCCGCGGCUCAACUGCGGGAGGUCUGGGGAGAUGGUGCGGCUGGAGGGCGGCAGAGGCAGACGGAAGUCCCGCAGGAGCGGUGAAAUGCGUAGAGAGCGGGAGGAACACCCGUGGCGAAGGCGGUCUGCUGGGCCGCGUCUGACGCUGAGGCGCGAAAGCUAGGGGAGCGAACGGAAUUAGAUACUCCGGUAGUCCUAGCCCUAAACGAUGGGUACCAGGUGUGGGGGGACUCGACCCCCUCCGCGCCGCCGCCAACGCGAUGAGUACCCCGCCUGGGGAGUACGGCCGCAAGGCUAAAACUCAAAGGAAUUGACGGGGGCCCGCACAAGCAGCGGAGCGUGUGGUUUAAUUCGACGCAACGCGCAGAACCUUACCGAGGCUGGACAUGCUCGUGACGGCCGGUGAAAGCCGGUCUCCCUUCGGGGCGCGGGCACAGGUGUUGCAUGGCUGUCGUCAGCUCGUGCCGUGAGGUGUUGGGUUCAGUCCCGCAACGAGCGCAACCCCCGGUGCCAGUUAGGCUGUCUGGCGCGACCGCCGGGAGCAACCCGGAGGAAGGCGGGGAUGACGUCAAGUCGGCACGGCCCUUACGCCUCGGGCGACACACACGCUACAAUGGCCGGGACAGCGGGCUGCGAAAGGGCAACCUGGAGCCAAUCCCUGCAAACCCGGUCUCAGUUCAGAUGGGGGGCUGCAACUCGCCCCCCUGAAGGCGGAGUUGCUAGUAACCGCCGGUCAGCACACGGCGGUGAAUAUGUUCCCGGGCCUUGUACACACCGCCCGUCACACCAUGGGAGCGUGGGGGGCCUGAAGCCGCUGGGCGAACCCUUCGGGGACGCCGGUGUCGAGGGUCAAUCACGUGACUGGGGUG
Molecule: ribosomal RNA, 1409 nt
Filed under: uncultured bacterium
Lineage: Bacteria
Description: bacterial SSU rRNA
Rfam family: Bacterial small subunit ribosomal RNA
Source: RNAcentral